Sciurus carolinensis (gray squirrel) is the source of this 107-nucleotide small nuclear RNA. The record is from RefSeq and is a predicted model, not a curated record. Lineage: Eukaryota; Metazoa; Chordata; Mammalia; Rodentia; Sciuridae.
GUACUCACUUUGGCAGCAUAUGUACUAAAAUUGGAAGGAUACAGAGAAGAUUAGCAAGGUCCCUAUGUAAGGAUGGCAUGCAAAUUUGUGAAGCAUUCCAUACUUAA